CUUCCGUUUUUUCAUCAUUUUAUAUUUUUUUUUUAUCCCCAACCAUAAGAUUUAAUAUUUGCAGUUACCUAGAGAAGAGAGAGAGAGAGAGAAAGAGAGAUAUAGAGAUAGUGUGCGUGUUACGAUAUAAUCUUUAUCGUUACAUAACAAGAACAGUUGAUAUUCUAUACAUCUACGUAAAAAUAUCUGCAUCCACUGUAUAGUGGUAGGCUCUUACUAUAACUGCGUGCGAUGUACAGUUUGUAUUGAAUA
This is a long non-coding RNA of Diprion similis, 252 nucleotides long. RefSeq lists it as uncharacterized. NCBI's taxonomy places the organism in Eukaryota, Metazoa, Arthropoda, Insecta, Hymenoptera, Diprionidae. The record is from RefSeq and is a predicted model, not a curated record. The transcript is spliced from 2 exons.